AGCAGGGUAGAGUAACGGUAGCUCGCCGCGCUCAUAACGCGGAAUGUGCGGGUUCGAUUCCCGCUCCUGCUC
Molecule: transfer RNA, 72 nt
Filed under: Opitutaceae bacterium TAV5
Lineage: Bacteria; Pseudomonadati; Verrucomicrobiota; Opitutia; Opitutales; Opitutaceae
Rfam family: tRNA
About the family: Transfer RNA (tRNA) molecules are approximately 80 nucleotides in length. Their secondary structure includes four short double-helical elements and three loops (D, anti-codon, and T loops).
Source: Rfam by way of RNAcentral